Molecule: small RNA, 930 nt
Filed under: Pongo abelii (Sumatran orangutan)
Lineage: Eukaryota; Metazoa; Chordata; Mammalia; Primates; Hominidae
Description: retained intron
Source: RNAcentral
AAAAUGAACUAAAUAAAUAUUGCAGAUUAUUACAUCACCCCUUGGAUGGGGAGAGGUUUCCCUCAAGGAACUGGGCAUCUGCACUGUAAGGGCAGGCAGAUGCAGUCACUGAGGGCCUUGUCACCCCCAUCGCCCAUGUCUCCUCCAUUUCUGCUGCCACAUGGUAGGCACCUUACUGCUGUACCUGCUUUGAAUCUCAUCUCCCACCAUUCCUCUGAGCACCCUGCCAAGUUAAUCUUGAGAUAUUAGUUUUGUCUCUCCUGACACAGAAAUGUGGCCAGAGCUUCACCUUCGUCUGGCAGCCAAGGCCCCUUAUCAUUGGCCCAUAGUGACCAUCCUUGUAAGCUCUGUUCAUAUCUCCUUGCCUUCUCCCUCUAGCUUUUCCCUACACUUCUCCUCUGACCUUUUCACCCAGACCACUAUUUGUGCAUUCCUCCUUGAUGGUGAUCUGAGUCCAGGAGUACCACCCAGCCCUUCUUUCUUCCCCACAUAGCCUAUGGGUGACAACUACCAUCAAAUUGACUCCCUGCACCAUCCUUCUGCCACCUUUUUUCACAUCCCCUUUGCAGAUCCCCUUGACCACACCCUCAUUCUCAGCUGGUGCUCAUGAAGGACAGAAGAGUCAAUGUCAGUACAAUGUCCUAGUCAUGCCCAGCCUCAGAACUCGCCGUGAGGAGGCAGAGAUGGAACUCUCAGCUCCAGGACCAUCCCCUUGGACCCCUGCAGCCCAGGCCCAUGUGAAUGAUGCUCCUGCUGUGACCCACCCUGGAUCUGCAGCCUGUGGUACCCCCUGCUGUAGUGAUACUGAGCUGGAAGCCAUCUGCCCUCACUAUCAGCAGCCAGGUACUUUAAGAACAGUUCUCCGCUGGUGCCCUUAUUCUGGGGAAGUGAUGUCCAUGGAACCCUGUGCUUACCCCUAGGAGGCAUCUG